AUUAGAGCGAUGAACAAGAGGAGUAAAAUGACUUUGUUUACGAGAGAGGGAAGACUUGGUGCAACUUCCUAGCAAAUUCAUUUGAAGGUAGCUUGUGAGCUUACUCUACGAAAAGAAGUAAUAGAGUACGGAGACGACACUUCGUUACCAACAUCGAGGCGUAAUGAAUUUUUACGCGAAUAUUAGGUGGUACCACGAAUUUAAUCGUCCUAUGG
This 215-nucleotide non-coding RNA is filed under the name Granulicatella adiacens. RNAcentral's name for it is "T-box sequence". It matches the Rfam family "T-box leader". Rfam says of the family: Uncharged tRNA acts as the effector for transcription antitermination of genes in the T-box leader family. T-boxes are found upstream of many aminoacyl-tRNA synthetase genes and some amino acid biosynthetic genes usually in Gram-positive bacteria. The anticodon of a specific tRNA base pairs to a specifier sequence within the T-box motif, and the NCCA acceptor tail of the tRNA base pairs to a conserved bulge in the T-box antiterminator hairpin. Lineage: Bacteria; Bacillati; Bacillota; Bacilli; Lactobacillales; Carnobacteriaceae. The record is from RNAcentral.